This 587-nucleotide long non-coding RNA is filed under the name Rosa chinensis. Its description in RNAcentral is "sRNA RchiOBHm_Chr2g0133391". The record is from RNAcentral. Lineage: Eukaryota; Viridiplantae; Streptophyta; Magnoliopsida; Rosales; Rosaceae.
UUGGCUUUGCCAAUAUAUGACUUCCUCUAUGCAGUAAGCUCUGAGGAGCAUUUACGUUUUAUUUUGUGAUGACAAUUUAAAUUCGUAAAUUUGUGUAAUAUAUAACUCUGUGGAGCGAGUGUAUAUUAACUUGGAUGGUUCAGUGUAUCAGUAAGUACUUGUUUUAAGGGAAAGAUGUUCCAGGUAUUUGUAUUGAUGACUGAACAUUCACGCAUGUAUAAUUAUGGGAUUAUAUAUAUCGAUUUUUAUUGUUGUUAAAAAUCAGGGGCGUGACAGAAACAUUUAAGGUAACAAUUGGUUGCUCUAUGGGCCAACUUUGUUAAGGGGUUUCCAUGAGAUAUGAGGCCUAUGUAGCUUUUGGUUAGGUUGGAUUCUUGGGAAUGCUAUUGUUUAGGUUCAGAUCUUUGACCUAGAGGGAUUUCACAAACUUCUGCAGUGUUUUUUUUUUUGUCUCCAUUGGUUCAGUAAUACUCUUUGUGCACUUAUACUCUCCACUGGUUCAUGACCUAAACUUCUGCACUAAUACUUUUUGUGCUAAAAUCUCAAUACUUCGUUGAUCUAUGCUUCAAUUUUGUGUUAUGGUAUAA